CUUUACCUGUGUUCGGAUGGUGUUCAGCACCAAGGACAGGUAUGUUCCCUCAUUGGUGUAUGGUGUUCAGCACCGAGGACAGGUAUGUUCGUUU
Molecule: microRNA precursor, 94 nt
Filed under: Branchiostoma floridae (Florida lancelet)
Lineage: Eukaryota; Metazoa; Chordata; Leptocardii; Amphioxiformes; Branchiostomatidae
Description: mir-2060 microRNA precursor family
Rfam family: mir-2060 microRNA precursor family
Source: Rfam by way of RNAcentral